Molecule: ribosomal RNA, 440 nt
Filed under: uncultured bacterium
Lineage: Bacteria
Description: partial 16S ribosomal RNA
Rfam family: Bacterial small subunit ribosomal RNA
Source: RNAcentral
CCUACGGGGGGCUGCAGUAGGGAAUAUUGCUCAAUGGGGGAAACCCUGAAGCAGCAACGCCGCGUGGAGGAUGAAGGUUUUCGGAUUGUAAACUCCUUUUGUUAGAGAAGAUAAUGACGGUAUCUAACGAAUAAGCACCGGCUAACUCCGUGCCAGCAGCCGCGGUAAUACGGCGGGUGCAAGCGUUACUCGGAAUCACUGGGCGUAAAGAGCGCGUAGGCGGGUUAGCAAGUCAGAUGUGAAAUCCUAUGGCUUAACCAUAGAACUGCAUUUGAAACUGGUAUGCUAGAGUAUGGGAGAGGUAGGUGGAAUUCUUGGUGUAGGGGUAAAAUGCGUAGAGAUCAAGAGGAAUACUCAUUGCGAAGGCGACCUGCUAGAACAUAACUGACGCUGAUGCGCGAAAGCGUGGGGAGCAAACAGGAUUAGAUACCCUUGUAGUC